Oreochromis aureus is the source of this 184-nucleotide long non-coding RNA. RefSeq lists it as uncharacterized. The transcript is spliced from 3 exons. NCBI's taxonomy places the organism in Eukaryota, Metazoa, Chordata, Actinopteri, Cichliformes, Cichlidae. The record is from RefSeq and is a predicted model, not a curated record.
GACACCAAGUGCUGAGGUCCUGUCUCAGCCUCAUACAGACCAAUUGCUGGGAAGGCUGAUUUUGAAUGCAGGGCUGGCUGUAAAUAUGUUUGAGGGGCUCCAGGAUCUCCGUUCCUCCAAGAUCAGCCUCCAUCUCCUCAACUUUCUUCAGAGCCUCCUCCAUGGUCUUCUGGCUGUACUCCAC